AGCUCAAGCCAGUCUGGUCCUUGCUACAACACAGGGAGGACCUUGUCAGUUCAAUAACCAUUUAGCAAAUCAUUCCUGGGGUCCUACCAACUGCAAUGCAGACACCUGAGUUUCCUCAUGAUGCAGUCCAGGCCUGUGAGAUGAACCAUCUAGAAGACUCUAGCAUCAGAUCCCUGUUGACCUGUCCACAGCCUUAACUACCCUCCAUCACCUGUUCACUCCUUUUGCUCUGACCACGGCUGGGAGCCAGUGAACCUGAGGGAGGCCAUGGAGGAGACGAGGACUUCCCUCUCCUGCUGACCCAAAGGCCCAUCUUCCGAAUUCUGGAACCCCCUUUUCAUCAGCUCUCCCGGCCAACCAGCUCUAGCUGCCCCACUACCUUCAGGGCUAAGAGACUCUUGUUGAUUUCUGCGCCCUCCAUGCGGGUCUGCCGGUCAGCACUGGAAGUGUCUGCGCCUCGCUCAUUCCCUGCCAGAUCUACCAAAGAGAACUUGCCAUGCAUUCUCCCUUUAGCUCGAAGAAGAAUUUGGAAGCAGGCGUGGGAGCGGGAGGAAUUGGAGUUGGCAAAUGUCUGCCCAGAGGUUCUGUGGUAAAGAAAGGUUAUGAGAUUCUCUGGUCACCAGCCCCCAUGGCACCCAAGUCCACAGAAGUUCUCUAGGAAGGGAGGGACACAGGUUAGGAGGCAAAGAAGUCUUGUGUCUUCCUGUCCCAGGCUUCCAUCUUGCCCUCUCUGGGUAGCAAUUCUCCCUCCAGCUCUGGACCUAAUACAUUUUCCUGGCAGCCAAAUUAGUACUGGAUUCUGGACUAGGGCCUGGAGCCCUAGAAGGACAGGGGGAAGGAUAAAUUGCCUCUGCUAAAGGGCCCAAAGGGAAGGAGGAAGCUGUCAUGAACCACCUGCCAGAACUUGAGGACCCUGUAGAGGGCAGCCCCCUCCCUGGGCCUCCAUAGCUGCCUAGCGCCCCCACUGUACCAAUGUGUACAGCCCUAGUGGAAAAGUGCUCUCCUAAUUCUGUGCAGAGGGGGUAUGAACCCAUUACUUCCAGCCCAGAACAGACCUAGAGCUCCCGACUUCCACCACAAAGGGAGGGAAGAGCAAGGAGGAACCCAGAGAAGCCAGGAAGCAUGCCUUUGGGGUAACACUUGUUUUUAUUUUUAUUUUUUUGAGACAGGAUCUCGCUCUG
Molecule: long non-coding RNA, 1181 nt
Organism: Pongo pygmaeus (Bornean orangutan)
Lineage: Eukaryota; Metazoa; Chordata; Mammalia; Primates; Hominidae
Exons: 4
Source: RefSeq, a predicted model, not a curated record